This 460-nucleotide ribosomal RNA is filed under the name uncultured bacterium. RNAcentral's name for it is "partial 16S ribosomal RNA". It matches the Rfam family "Bacterial small subunit ribosomal RNA", at positions 338 to 795 of the family's 1533-position model. The record is from RNAcentral.
CCUACGGGUGGCAGCAGUGAGGAAUAUUGGUCAAUGGACGAGAGUCUGAACCAGCCAAGUAGCGUGAAGGAUGACUGCCCUAUGGGUUGUAAACUUCUUUUAUAAAGGAAUAAAACGCGGCACGUGUGCCUUUUUGCAUGUACUUUAUGAAUACGGCUCGGCUAACUCCGUGCCAGCAGCCGCGGUAAUACGGAGGUUCCGAGCGUUAUCCGGAUUUAUUGGGGUUAAAGGGAGCGUAGAUGGGUUGUUAAGUCAGUUGUGAAAGUUUGCGGCUCAACCGUAAAAUUGCAAUUGAAACUGGCAGUCUUGAGUACAGUUGAGGUAGGCGGAAUUCGUGGUGUAGCGGUGAAAUGCUUAGAUAUCACGAAGAACCCCGAUUGCGAAGGCAGCUUACUAAACUGUGACUGACAUUGAUGCUCGAAAGUGUGGGGAUCAAACAGGAUUAGAUACCCCAGUAGUC